GCCCUGCUGGCGCAAUGGUAGCGCGCGAGACUUCUAAUCUCGAGGCUGCGGGUUCGAGUCCCGCGUGGGGUG
This 72-nucleotide transfer RNA is filed under the name Xylona heveae TC161. It matches the Rfam family "tRNA". From Rfam's summary of the family: Transfer RNA (tRNA) molecules are approximately 80 nucleotides in length. Their secondary structure includes four short double-helical elements and three loops (D, anti-codon, and T loops). Lineage: Eukaryota; Fungi; Ascomycota; Xylonomycetes; Xylonales; Xylonaceae. The record is from Rfam by way of RNAcentral.